UGAGGAACAUGACCUUCGGCGGGGGAUAGCCGGCCCAACGGCCGGGUAAUACCGCGUACGACCACAUGGGGACAUCCCUGAGUGGUGAAAGCAGCAAUGCGCCGAUGGAGUGCCUCGCGGCCUAUCAGCUAGUUGGUGAGGUAACGGCUCACCAAGGCAACGAUGCGUAGCCGACCUGAGAGGAUGAUCAGCCACACUGGAACUGAGACACGGUCCAGACCUCCG
This 225-nucleotide ribosomal RNA is filed under the name uncultured bacterium. Its description in RNAcentral is "partial 16S ribosomal RNA". It matches the Rfam family "Bacterial small subunit ribosomal RNA", at positions 118 to 341 of the family's 1533-position model. The record is from RNAcentral.